Molecule: ribosomal RNA, 397 nt
Filed under: uncultured bacterium
Lineage: Bacteria
Description: partial 16S ribosomal RNA
Rfam family: Bacterial small subunit ribosomal RNA
Source: RNAcentral
AUACGUAGGGGGCGAGCGUUGUCCGGAAUGAUUGGGCGUAAAGGGCGUGUAGGCGGCCUGGUAAGUCUGGAGUGAAAGUCCUGCUUUCAAGGUGGGAAUUGCUUUGGAUACUGUCGGGCUAGAGUGCAGGAGAGGUUAUCGGAAGUCCCGGUGUAGCGGUGAAAUGCGUAGAGAUCGGGAGGAACACCAGUGGCGAAGGCGGGUAACUGGACUGCAACUGACGCUGAGGCGCGAAAGUGUGGGGAGCAAACAGGAUUAGAUACCCUGGUAGUCCACACUGUAAACGAUGAAUGCUAGGUGUAGGAGGUAUCGACCCCUUCUGUGCCGGAGUUAACACAAUAAGCAUUCCGCCUGGGGAGUACGGCCGCAAGGUUGAAACUCAAAUGAAUUGACGGGG